Molecule: ribosomal RNA, 251 nt
Filed under: uncultured bacterium
Lineage: Bacteria
Description: partial 16S ribosomal RNA
Rfam family: Bacterial small subunit ribosomal RNA
Source: RNAcentral
UACAGAGGGGGCAAGCGUUGUUCGGAAUUACUGGGCGUAAAGGGCGUAGGCGGCCUGCUAAGUCGAACGUGAAAUCCCCGAGCUCAACUCGGGAACUGCGUCCGAUACUGGCAGGCUUGAAUCCGGGAGAGGGAUGCGGAAUUCCAGGUGUAGCGGUGAAAUGCGUAGAUAUCUGGAGGAACACCGGUGGCGAAGGCGGCAUCCUGGACCGGCAUUGACGCUGAGGCGCGAAAGCCAGGGGAGCAAACGGG